RNAcentral lists this ribosomal RNA (253 nucleotides) under uncultured prokaryote. Its description in RNAcentral is "partial 16S ribosomal RNA". It matches the Rfam family "Bacterial small subunit ribosomal RNA", at positions 524 to 776 of the family's 1533-position model. The record is from RNAcentral.
UACGUAGGGGGCAAGCGUUAUCCGGAAUUACUGGGUGUAAAGGGAGAGUAGGCGGCAUGGUAAGUUAGAUGUGAAAGCCCGUGGCUUAACCACGGGAUUGCAUUUAAAACUAUCAAGCUAGAGUACGGGAGAGGAAAGUGGAAUUCCUAGUGUAGCGGUGAAAUGCGUAGAUAUUAGGAAGAACACCAGUGGCGAAGGCGACUUUCUGGACCGAAACUGACGCUGAGGCUCGAAAGCGUGGGGAGCAAACAGG